AGAGUUUGAUCCUGGCUCAGAGCGAACGCUGGCGGCAGGCCUAACACAUGCAAGUCGAGCGGGCGUAGCAAUACGUCAGCGGCAGACGGGUGAGUAACGCGUGGGAACAUACCUUUUGGUUCGGAACAACCCAGGGAAACUUGGGCUAAUACCGGAUAAGCCCUUACGGGGAAAGAUUUAUCGCCGAAAGAUUGGCCCGCGUCUGAUUAGCUAGUUGGUGAGGUAAUGGCUCACCAAGGCGACGAUCAGUAGCUGGUCUGAGAGGAUGAUCAGCCACAUUGGGACUGAGACACGGCCCAAACUCCUACGGGAGGCAGCAGUGGGGAAUAUUGGACAAUGGGCGCAAGCCUGAUCCAGCCAUGCCGCGUGAGUGAUGAAGGCCCUAGGGUUGUAAAGCUCUUUUGUGCGGGAAGAUAAUGACGGUACCGCAAGAAUAAGCCCCGGCUAACUUCGUGCCAGCAGCCGCGGUAAUACGAAGGGGGCUAGCGUUGCUCGGAAUCACUGGGCGUAAAGGGUGCGUAGGCGGGUCUUUAAGUCAGGGGUGAAAUCCUGGAGCUCAACUCCAGAACUGCCUUUGAUACUGAAGAUCUUGAG
RNAcentral lists this ribosomal RNA (594 nucleotides) under uncultured bacterium. RNAcentral's name for it is "bacterial SSU rRNA". It matches the Rfam family "Bacterial small subunit ribosomal RNA", at positions 8 to 646 of the family's 1533-position model. The record is from RNAcentral.